UUCCGGUUGAUCCUGCCGGACCUGACUGCUAUCGGAUUGAUACUAAGCCAUGCGAGUCAUUGUGGCAAUACAAGGCAGACGGCUCAGUAACGCGUAGUCAACCUACCCUAUGGACGGGAAUAACCUCGGGAAACUGAGAAUAAUGCCCGAUAGAACAUUAUGCCUGGAAUGGUUUAUGUUCCAAAUGAUUUAUCGCCGUAGGAUGGGACUGCGGCCUAUCAGUUUGUUGGUGAGGUAAUGGCCCACCAAGACUAUUACAGGUACGGGCUCUGAGAGGAGUAGCCCGGAGAUGGGUACUGGGACACGGACCCAGGCCCUAUGGGGCGCAGCAGGCGAGAAAACUUUGCAAUGUGCGAAAGCACGACAAGGUUAAUCCGAGUGGUUUCUGCUAAAGGAACCUUUUGACAGUCCUAGAAACACUGUUGAAUAAGGGGUGGGCAAGUUCUGGUGUCAGCCGCCGCGGUAAAACCAGCACCUCAAGUGGUCAGGAUGAUUAUUGGGCCUAAAGCAUCCGUAGCCGGCUCUGUUAGUUUUCGGUUAAAUCUGUACGCUCAACGUACAGGCUGCCGGAAAUACUGCAGAGCUAGGGAGUGGGAGAGGUAGACGGUACUCGGUAGGAAGGGGUAAAAUCCUUUGAUCUAUUGAUGACCACCUGUGGCGAAGGCGGUCUACCAGAACACGUCCGACGGUGAGGGAUGAAAGCUGGGGGAGCAAACCGGAUUAGAUACCCGGGUAGUCCCAGCUGUAAACUAUGCAAACUCAGUGAUGCAUUGGCUUGUGGCCAAUGCAGUGCUGCAGGGAAGCCGUUAAGUUUGCCGCCUGGGAAGUACGUACGCAAGUAUGAAACUUAAAGGAAUUGGCGGGGCAGCAC
RNAcentral lists this ribosomal RNA (871 nucleotides) under uncultured euryarchaeote. RNAcentral's name for it is "bacterial SSU rRNA". It matches the Rfam family "Archaeal small subunit ribosomal RNA", at positions 1 to 879 of the family's 1478-position model. Lineage: Archaea; Methanobacteriati; Methanobacteriota. The record is from RNAcentral.